CAGUUAGGAAAUUACUAUUUGAGUUCUGAUGCUGCUGUGAUUUCUCAAAAAUCAGUGGGAACAAACCAAUCCAUAUAAAAUACUAUGUUUUUUUGGUCUCCUUUGCAAUUUUAUAUACAAAUCAAGACAGAUGAAUGAACAUAAAUUCUCAGUUUUGUCUAUUCCCUCAAAAAGUAAACUGCUCCUUUAAAAAAAUUAUUCACAGCUAAUAACCUUUAGGAACAUGUUUUAUACCACAUAACUCUUUUUUAAUUAAAGCAAGUGCCUUGAUGCCAUUCCAUAUAAAUCAGGCUUAACCUAUGGGAUUGGGAUGAGUUGAUGGGUUGCAGCCUGUUGUGGGAGGUGGGGAUAGGGGUUGGUUAAUAGCAACUGUUUUUCUUUUGGGAGCAUAUAUUCAUGUUUAUUAUGUAAGAUACUAUAUGUGUUGAGAUCUAGAGGUGUCAUUUCAUUUCUGAUAAUAAACUGUUAUGCUAAUAAAAUACUACUCUGUGUCUAAAUUAUUUAAGUACAACUAAGAAAUGCACGUAGGUUACCAGUGAGCUUUGGAAUACCAUUGCUUUACAUUUGGAGAGUGAUUCAGUCAUUAAUUUUUCCCAACUAUAACAAGAGGAUCUGUCCUUAUAGAAGGACAUAAUGCAUAAAGAAAUGCAUUUCUUUUUUUUCCUUUUUUUUUUUUUUUUUUGCUUGUUGUCCUGAGUGAGUACAUUAAUCCUUCAGGAACUCAAUUUUUUCAUCAAUGAAGUGGGGAGGAGCACAAGAUUGCUUGAGGACCUGUCCAGUUCUCAUGUUGCAUGACUACUAUUCUGUAUGUUUUGGGAAUCAGAAAACCCCAAACUGGCUCAUGUUUUACUACUCCUAACUCUGAAUUUUGGUAAGUGAAUUUUGAGCCAUCUUUUCGCCAUCAGUAAGUUGAAGCUGCCACCUUGUACGCAGGUAAAGGAGUUGGACUAAAUGGUCUUCGAAGGGCCCUUCGAAUUUUACCAUCCUGUAUACUCACCAUGUGUGCACACAGCACGUGGGACCCGGAGCCGUGUGUGGUGCCUCAACACACUCAUUCUCUGGCAUCUCUCCAGCUACCUUGGAGGGCUCUGCUUCCCCAUCUCCUUUCAGUGCUUGUGUCCUUGGCCUCUUCUCUCCUCAUUUAGUACCAUUGCUUAAGCUUUGGAUUUUUAGAUCUGAUUGAGCCUGAUGAAAGUAUGGCUUUUCUUGGAGAAGUAACACAUUUGUAUGUAUACACACACACGAUUUAUAUAGAGGCUGGUUCAUGGCCCCCCAUGUCAUGAAUACUUUGCAUUAUAAGCUCUCUCCAGAUGACUACAUCCAUGGCCUCAAUUGAUUUGUUAUCUGUGUGCUGAUGGCAGCCAAACAUGAUUUCUAGCCUCUCUAGAACACCAGCCAGCAUAUCUGUCUGUACAUAAAUCUCCAGAGCUGUCCAGUAACAGCUGGAUGCCCAGAAGCACCUCACAUAGAAUACAAACUCAUCUUCUCUUCCCCUGUUAACGCCAUCUUGAUCAUGGCAUGACUCAGCAACUCAAUCCAGAAACUUGGAAGAUUUUAGAAUAUUCCUCUUCACAUUCAUCUACCUGGUAAGACUCUCAAGUCAAACAUCUUUCUUGCCCUCAGUGUUCAUUUAUCUUCAGGACUAUGCCACAGUCUACCUAGUUAAUCUAUUUCUCUACAACUCAGCCUCCACACUAGUUACCGAUUAUUUCUUUAAAAAAAGAAAAAAAAAAAAGACCUUUGUUACUUCUAAGUGGUUCUCCAGUGUUUCCAGAGUAAGUUCAGAAUCAAUGCUAUAGCCAAUAAGACCUUAAAAAGUUUGCCCUUGGGUACCUGGGUGACUCAGUUGUUAGGUGUCUGCCUUUGGCUCAGGUCGUGAUCUCAGGGUCCUGGGAUUGAGCCCCCGCAUUGGGCUGCCUGUUCAGCAGGAGGCCUACCUCUCCCUCUCUCACUCCCCCUGCUUGUGUUCCCUCUCUCUGCGUCUUUCUCUGUUAAAUAAAUAAGAUCUUUAAAAAAAAAAAAAAAAAAAAAAACCCAAAUAAAAAAAAGUUGCUCUUGCUUACAUCUUCAGCAUCUUGUCCUGUCACACAUCCCUUUGCUUGACCAAUAAACCUCUGACCUUAGGUGAUCCCAAAUGGGCCAUUUUAAAAUGUCCAGGCCUUUAUAUAUGCUGUUCUUUCUUCCAGGAACAGCCUCCCAGCCCCAUAUGUGUAAACGUCUCUACUCUUUCCAAAUACUUCUUACUAAAAGUCCCUUGCUCUUGGCAACAUUUCCUAUUGAAUUCCUCUUCUCUCAUGCUGAGUCUCCUUUGGACCUCAUCUCAGCAUAUUCUCUCAAAUGGCGUUUACCACUCUAUCAUUUUUCCUUCUCCAUCUCAUCUGCUAACUGGACUCCCUGAGGUUAGGGCUGUGCAUUUCAUCCUUAGAGCCUCUGUGGCCAGCAGUGGGUAUCAGUUCCAAGCAUGGAUAUGUUUGGUGGAUAUUUAUUUCUCUAAAACUGGUUCAUUUACAGAGCAUGUCUGUCUUGGGUCAAUUACAUGGCCUGUGGUUAUCAAUACGUUGGAAAAAGUCCCUGGUGAAGGGAUAGGUGUGUAAUGGGGUUGGAUUAGGUGGUCCAAGGCACAGUUGUUUCUUAGAUAGUUGCCUGAACAAGAUUCACAUUCUAUGUCUUUUCUAUCUUUCCUUGUUUUCCUUUUCAGUCUCUACCUUGUCAGAGAAUUUAAACAUGGCUGCUUCUAAGUGUUCCUGGUUGGCCCAGUUGUGUCUAUUGUGUAAUCUCUCUCUGCCCUCUGGUGGCCAGAAUAUGCUACCACAUUUCACCUCAAAGAAGUAUGGCCUCUGGUAGCAUGAACAGUUAAUAGGCAUUUGGGAGCCACCACAGACACUUGGACGGGGGAAAUGGCAUGAUGUCAAGAGAUUUAACAUUAUGUGCCAAAUGCACUUCAGGGGAAGAAAGUGAGUGGGAGUAUUCGGAUGGCCGGCUGGCUGAAGAGAGAAGUACUAGGAUCCAGCUAGACCAGUGGUUCUCAAAGUAAGGAUCCUGGACCACAUUAGCCAUCAGCAGGACCUGAGAACUUGUUAGAAAUGCAAAUUUUGGGGCCCCACCUAAUACCCACUGAAUCAGAAAACUGGAGGUGGAGCCCAGCAAUCUGGAUUUUAGCAAGCCUUUCAAGUGAUUCUGAAGUGAGUUAACAUUUGGAAACCACUGAGCUAGACUUACUGGUAAGAAGUUGGCUUCCUACCGUGUGCUUGAUUUUCCUUUGGCCAAAUCAGCAAUUCCCAAAUUUUUCUGCACAUUGGAAUGACCUGGGCAGUUUCACAAACUACUAAUGCCUGUGACCUAUAACCACAGAUUGUGAUUUAAUUGGUCUGGGAUAAGGCCUGGGCUUUAGAAAUUUUUUUUAAAGAUGCUCAAGAGAUCCUAAGGUGCAGACA
Mustela lutreola (European mink) is the source of this 3434-nucleotide long non-coding RNA. RefSeq lists it as uncharacterized. NCBI's taxonomy places the organism in Eukaryota, Metazoa, Chordata, Mammalia, Carnivora, Mustelidae. The record is from RefSeq and is a predicted model, not a curated record. The transcript is spliced from 3 exons.